CCUACGGGAGGCAGCAGUGGGGAAUCUUGCACAAUGGAGGAAACUCUGAUGCAGCGAUGCCGCGUGAGUGAAGAAGGCCUUUGGGUUGUAAAGCUCUUUUGUAGGGGAAGAUAAUGACUGUACCCUAAGAAUAAGGUCCGGCUAACUUCGUGCCAGCAGCCGCGGUAAUACGAAGGGACCUAGCGUAGUUCGGAAUUACUGGGCGUAAAGCGCGCGUAGGCCGUUGAGUUAGUUAAUUGUGAAAUCCCAAAGCUUAACUUUGGAACUGCAAUUAAAACUGCUCGACUAGAGUUUGAUAGAGGAAAGCGGAAUACAUAGUGUAGAGGUGAAAUUCGUAGAUAUUAUGUAGAACACCAGUUGCGAAGGCGGCUUUCUGGAUCAACACUGACGCUGAGGCGCGAAAGUAUGGGUAGCAAAGAGGAUUAGAUACCCUCGUAGUCCAUACCAUAAACGAUGAUUGCUAGAUGUUGGAAAUUUAUUUUCAGUAUCGCAGCUAACGCAUUAAGCAAUCCGCCUGGGGAGUACGACCGCAAGGUUAAAACUCAAAGGAAUUGACGGCUGNGAGNGCGAGCGACACGAGGAGAG
This 585-nucleotide ribosomal RNA is filed under the name uncultured bacterium. RNAcentral's name for it is "bacterial SSU rRNA". It matches the Rfam family "Bacterial small subunit ribosomal RNA", at positions 338 to 943 of the family's 1533-position model. The record is from RNAcentral.